This 391-nucleotide ribosomal RNA is filed under the name Actinocyclus sp. (in: diatoms). RNAcentral describes it as "Actinocyclus sp. (in: Bacillariophyta) partial small subunit ribosomal RNA". It matches the Rfam family "Eukaryotic small subunit ribosomal RNA", at positions 582 to 975 of the family's 1831-position model. Lineage: Eukaryota; Bacillariophyta; Coscinodiscophyceae; Coscinodiscales; Hemidiscaceae. The record is from RNAcentral.
AUUCCAGCUCCAAUAGCGUAUAUUAAAGUUGUUGCAGUUAAAAAGCUCGUAGUUGGAUUUCUGGUAGAAGUAGCGACCUUGGGUCUUUGACCUAUGAAGUUGCUAUCUUCAACCAUCCUUGAAGAGAUUUAGUUUGGCAUUAAGUUGUCGAACUAAAGAUAUUCAUCUUUUACUGUGAAAAAAUCAGAACGUUCAAAGUAAGCAUUUAGCUUUGAAUGUAUUAGCAUGGAAUAAUGAAAUAGGACUUAGGUACUACUUUGUUGGUUUAUGCACCUAGGUAAUGAUUAAUAGGGAUAGUUGGGGGUAUUCGUAUUCCAAUGUUAGAGGUGAAAUUCUUGGAUUUGUGGAAGACGAACAACUGCGAAAGCAUUUACCAAGGAUGUUUUCAUUG